AGAAGGUGAGCAAGAGCAUAAAGGAUAAUGGAGGAUAAGAAGAGGCUUCUUCCUUCUAUCACCUUCAGAUCCUAUCCCUUCUUCUGCUAAAUUCUCCAUAAUUCUAAUGAUUUCACUUGACUUUCAGGCUACAUCCAGCCAAUGCCAAGACAGUGGAGUGGGACUGGAAACUGCUCACCUAUGUCAUGGAGGAAGAGGGACAAACUCUGCCUGGGCGAGUCCUUUUCCUGCGUUAUGUCGUUCAGACCCUAGAAGAUGACUUCCAGCAGACCCUGAGGAGGCAACGGCAGCACCUGCAGCAAUCCAUUGCAAACAUGGUGCUGUCCUGUGACAAGCAGCCCCACAAUGUCAGGGAUGUUAUCAAGUGGCUGGUCAAAGCAGUAACUGAAGAUGGAUUGACUCAGCCCCCAAAUGGAAAUCAAACGUCUUCAGGAACAGGAAUCUUGAAGGCUGGCAGUAGCCACCCUUCUUCCCAGCCCAACCUGACAAAGAACACCAAUCAGCUGUAAGGGGCAGGCAGUUAUCUUUCUUGGGGUUUAGUGUUUUAGAGAGAACAACACCAAUCCCUAAGAGCAGCUUCCCCCAAAUUAACAAGAUCUUAGAACAUAGGGUGAUGCUUAUUCAAGACUUAGUUUAACUAAAGGCUAAAUUUCUAAUUUCAAAGGUAGAACAAAACCAGGUGCUUUCACCCCUAGAAUGAAUAGGACUUCACAAAGUGAAUACGAAGUCACAACGCAGAUGCAAAACAAAUGCUAGAGGACACUGCCCUUCACUUCCUGCAUUUCAGGAGACAGUAAAGGGUUACAGCUCCUCAUCACUUCAGAUAUCCAUUGCCAUAGAGAAGGAGUGGUGUGUAGUGUGAGUUUUGUUAACCUCGAGUCCUCAA
RNAcentral lists this small RNA (886 nucleotides) under Pongo abelii (Sumatran orangutan). RNAcentral's name for it is "retained intron". The record is from RNAcentral. Lineage: Eukaryota; Metazoa; Chordata; Mammalia; Primates; Hominidae.